Molecule: RNA transcript, 2064 nt
Organism: Lycium barbarum (goji berry)
Lineage: Eukaryota; Viridiplantae; Streptophyta; Magnoliopsida; Solanales; Solanaceae
Exons: 9
Source: RefSeq, a predicted model, not a curated record
CUCAAUUUAGCACCAACCAGAAAAAAAAUGAAGAGAGCAUAUUUAUACGCAUUUUGUACUCCACUACUCUAUGCUGGUCUACUCUACAGUACACAUGACCAUUUUUUCUUGCUUUUAAUUACACUAUGAGUUGAUUCUGUGGAAAUGGAACCCUACGAAGUUCCUAUGCAACCCCUCCGCACUACAAGGCACAAGUGUUCUGCUUGUUUCAAGCAGUACAAGAAGACGGAGCAUCUCAUCGAACAUAUUAAAAGCUCUUAUCAUUCAGUUCAUGACCCUAAAUGUGGUGUGUGUAACAAGCAUUGCAAGUCAUUUGAAUCACUAAGGGAGCAUGUUGCUGGUCGUUUGUCCAAAGUGAAUUGCGCAAGCAUCUUUGCAGAAAGAGGUUGCAUUUUGUGUCUGAAAACCUGCAGCAGCGUGGACUCUCUCAACGAGCAUAAGGAAAUGUGUCUUCUAAGCACUCCUCGACCCAUUGACACAAUAGAGAUGCUUUUUCCAGAAGACCAAAUGGAUAUGCUCUAUUCAGAAUCCGAAAUGGACAUAAGUAAUGAAACUAGCAGCGUAAGACGCCGGGAAGCAGUUGCCAUAGAUUGUGAAAUGGUUGGAGGGGGGAGUGAUUGGUCACUAGACCUUUGUGCAAGGGUAUGCCUAGUUGACGAAGAUGAGAAGCUUAUUUUCCACACUUAUGUUCUACCUCAGAUUCCUGUCACUGAUUAUAGGUAUGAAAUUACUGGUAUAACAGAGGAAAAUCUACGAGAUGCCAUGCCUUUGAAGGAAGUCCGGGGGAGAAUUCUGCAGAUCCUUUACAAUGGAGAGUCAAUAAGUAGAGUAAGAUUGAAUGGUGGAAAAGCAAAGGUACUUGUGGGCCAUAACCUUGAGAAACACCUGGCUUGCUUGAAGAUGGAUUAUCCUGAUCAUCUUCUGAGAGAUACUGCAACAUACCAGCCCCUGAUGAAGACCAACUUUUCCAGCCACUCUCUCAAGUAUCUAACCAAGACUUAUCUAGGAUAUGAUAUCCAAGUUGGUUUCCAUGAUCCUUUCCAAGAUUUGGUGUCUGUCAUGCGGUUGUAUAAGAGAAUCCGCUCACGGGACCACCCAAUGGAAGGGACUAUUUGGGUAUCAAAUUCACCUCUAAGCUAUAGCAGUAGCUCUGAUCCAUGGAAACUCAUGGCACACGAAAGUAUGACACCAGAUGAGCUCUUAGCAAUAUCCAAAUCAAACUAUCGCUGUUGGUGUCUGGAUUCACUGGAAGCAAUGCAGAUGCAAUAAUGAAAUGAGUGUGCUUGAGGAGUUGUACCUGUUAACUCGCUUAAUGAGAGAUCCUGCAACAUACCGGCCCCUGAUGAAGACCAACUUUUAUUUAUAUAACUGUGGCGUCCGGGCUAGCUUGUGCGCACCUCGACUAAUUCCACGAGAUACCUGCCACCUCCCACCAGCAACAGAUAUGACAUCCAAGUUGGUUUCCAUGAUCUUUACCAAGAUUCCGUGUCUGUUAUGCGGUUGUAUAAGAAGAUCCGCUCACAAGAUCAUCCAAUGGAAGUGACUAUUAGGGUAUCAAAUUCACCUCUAAACUUUAGCAGUAGCUCUGAUCCAUGGAAAUCCAUGGCACACGCGACAAUGACUCCAGAUGAGCUCUUAGCAAUAUCGAGAUCAAACUAUAGGUGUUGGUGUCCUGAUUCCGGGGAAUCCAGUUAUUGAAUAUACAUUUGAUCUGAGAAAGCUUCCAGCUCCAAGUGGGCGGACAAUAAAGCGAGAAUGUGUCAUCUUUUUUGUGUGAUCUGCAUGAAUUCGCAUUUAAUUAGGCAUGUGAGGCUGUUGCUGAAGGUUUUUGUAGUUACUGAAGUGUAAAUGAGUAGAACUGCUUGUUUUUCCUUGGUAAAAGUUAUAGUAUAUCUGCCCUAAUUUCCAUCCUUGGAGGACUUCUUUGAUGCUUUGGAAAAAGGAGGGAGAAUUACUGGAUUUUGUUAUUGCAAUUUGCAUUCUCUAUAAUGUGUAGCACGGAAAUACAUAUACAGCGUUAAAUGAUCUUCCAUAUUGGCAGUCGGAUAUUUUAACCGUAUUAAA